This 548-nucleotide ribosomal RNA is filed under the name Fusarium brachygibbosum. RNAcentral's name for it is "eukaryotic LSU rRNA". The stretch from base 172 to 325 matches the Rfam family "5.8S ribosomal RNA". The record is from RNAcentral. Lineage: Eukaryota; Fungi; Ascomycota; Sordariomycetes; Hypocreales; Nectriaceae.
GAACCUGCGGAGGGAUCAUUACCGAGUUUACAACUCCCAAACCCCUGUGAACAUACCUUUAUGUUGCCUCGGCGGAUCAGCCCGCGCCCCGUAAAACGGGACGGCCCGCCGCAGGAACCACAAAACUCUGAUUUUAGUGUAACUUCUGAGUCUAAAAAACAAAUAAAUCAAAACUUUCAACAACGGAUCUCUUGGUUCUGGCAUCGAUGAAGAACGCAGCAAAAUGCGAUAAGUAAUGUGAAUUGCAGAAUUCAGUGAAUCAUCGAAUCUUUGAACGCACAUUGCGCCCGCCAGUAUUCUGGCGGGCAUGCCUGUUCGAGCGUCAUUUCAACCCUCAAGCCCCCGGGUUUGGUGUUGGGGAUCGGGCUGUACUCCAGCCCGGCCCCGAAAUCUAGUGGCGGUCUCGCUGCAGCCUCCAUUGCGUAGUAGCUAACACCUCGCAACUGGAACGCGGCGCGGCCAAGCCGUUAAACCCCCAACUUCUGAAUGUUGACCUCGGAUCAGGUAGGAAUACCCGCUGAACCUUAAGCAUAUCAAUAAGCGGGAGG